Molecule: ribosomal RNA, 425 nt
Filed under: uncultured bacterium
Lineage: Bacteria
Description: partial 16S ribosomal RNA
Rfam family: Bacterial small subunit ribosomal RNA
Source: RNAcentral
GUGGGGAAUAUUGGACAAUGGGCGCAAGCCUGAUCCAGCCAUGCCGCGUGAGUGAUGAAGGCCCUAGGGUUGUAAAGCUCUUUCACCGAUGAAGAUAAUGACGGUAGUCGGAGAAGAAGCCCCGGCUAACUUCGUGCCAGCAGCCGCGGUAAUACGAAGGGGGCUAGCGUUGUUCGGAUUUACUGGGCGUAAAGCGCACGUAGGCGGAUCGUUAAGUCGGGGGUGAAAUCCUGGAGCUCAACUCCAGAACUGCCUUCGAUACUGGCGAUCUUGAGUCCGGAAGAGGUGAGUGGAACUCCUAGUGUAGAGGUGGAAUUCGUAGAUAUUAGGAAGAACACCAGUGGCGAAGGCGGCUCACUGGUCCGGUACUGACGCUGAGGUGCGAAAGCGUGGGGAGCAAACAGGAUUAGAUACCCUUGUAGUCC